RNAcentral lists this long non-coding RNA (1191 nucleotides) under Cricetulus griseus (Chinese hamster). RNAcentral's name for it is "lncRNA (ENSCGRG00015038605.1)". The record is from RNAcentral. Lineage: Eukaryota; Metazoa; Chordata; Mammalia; Rodentia; Cricetidae.
GUCAGGGUUGUUCCCCGUCAGAAGGAUGGCUUGACCUCAAGUCUUUGCAUUCAUCUGUUAGCCAGGGGGUAGGAGAGAAGGCUGGUGAAGCCCAGGCUUGUCCCUUCCCACAACGAGUUGAAGAGACACAUCACCUCUGCUUAGGUGGAGUCCCUCGUUCAAGUCUUUGUCACAGGACCUGAGUUGACAGGACGGCCCCGGAAAACCACUUGAUUGAGACCUGGAGAAGGAAUUGUGACCAAGGGAGUCUACGUGUCAUCACGUCUGAGCUGAAGAGAGAUGCUGCUGACGACUGGCCACUGACAAUCAUGGCAGGGAUUUGAUGAAACCUCCUCAUGGACGGACCCCUCUGUAUGUGGUGGAACGAAGGAGGGGUUUUGAAGCUAGACCAGGUUAAGCUCUCAGCAAGACUGUAUAGUGGCUGUGUGACCAUGAACAAGGUGUUCCAUACCCAGCUUCUCCAUGGCUUCAUGUGUGAAGCAGAGAGGCCCAACGGACUCCUGUACCUGAGACAAAACUAAGCUUCAACCACAGCAUGUACCAUGGGCGGGCCCUGGAGCACCUGCUUCACAUUUGGUGGAAGACACAGGACCAGAGUUUGUAAAGCACAGAGGCCCAGGAGAUGGGUUUGGAGCCCAGGCCUCAUGGCUGACUGGGCCUGCUCCCCUCUGCAGGCCUACAUCCCUCCAGGAUAGGAGCAGGAUGCUCAGUCCUGGCUGUGUUACAGGUUUGUGGUUAUGUGUGCCAGCCCCACACUUGCUGCUCGAGAGCCUCUGCAUAGCAGAUGUGCUGAUUCUUGUUUCCUCAGACUGUGUUUCUUCCACACCCACAUCCCAGAAUAUUUUCCUGGGUUAAUAUAUCUGGCUAAGAAGGUUUGUGGUGAAAGACACCAAACAGGAAAUGAAAUGGCUGUCAUAGCCACUAUGUACAAGUCUUGUUUUUAACGGCUUUCUCCUGUGUAGCCCGCCUUCUCUGCCUGGCUUGGUAGUAAUUGCAGGGGUAAAUGGAAGGGAAAGGGAAAGGGGACAUUUUUAGAAGGGAACAUUUUUCCUCAAGUUCAAAGUUCACUGAAGGUCAAAGUUUAAAAUUAAGCCACACUGAUGAUGCUAGAAGGGUCUUUCCCUCACAGAACCUCUGUGUACAUGAUUCCUGCUGCCCACAGUGUACCCCCUGCCCCAUUUCUGAAAUAGU